RNAcentral lists this ribosomal RNA (193 nucleotides) under uncultured bacterium. Its description in RNAcentral is "partial 16S ribosomal RNA". It matches the Rfam family "Bacterial small subunit ribosomal RNA", at positions 338 to 524 of the family's 1533-position model. The record is from RNAcentral.
CCUAGGGAGGCAGCAGUAGGGAAUCUUCCGCAAUGGACGAAAGUCUGACGGAGCAACGCCGCGUGAGCGAUGAAGGCCUUCGGGUCGUAAAGCUCUGUUGUUAGGGAAGAACAAGUACCGGAGUAACUGCCGGUACCUUGACGGUACCUAACCAGAAAUCCACGGCUAACUACGUGCCAGCAGCCGCGGUAAU